ACUAACAUCUGAAAUUUAUAAGAUGGAAAAUUUGUUUACUAAGGGCAUUUGACAGUGCUUUCUGUCAACUUCACUGUUGUGCUAUGGCUUAUGGUCAGUCACUUACUGUUUUCUUUAUAUAGGUGUUUUAUACAGCAUUGGACAAGAGAAGACUACUUAAACUCAAUGCAGAAUGCAGAACUGAUAAAUGCAUCCAGGACAAAUGUUGAGGGCCUACAGUCACUGGCUCAAGUUUUGUGAUGUGCUGUUUGUAACUGGACAGGCCUGGAAGUGGCUUAGUACCUUCCACUCCUAUUUUAAGAUCUGUCUUUGAUUUUGGAGGCCUGGUUCUCCCCUCGGUAAUUCUGCUGGAACCAUUGGCAUUGCAUCAUGGAAAUUAGCUUCAUAGGUCAAGAUUAAUCAGUUGUGACCUUGGAACACAGCUCUUCUCUUCAUCAGAGCCUUUGUCCCUGAAGAGCUUAAUACACUCCUGUAUGAGUUUACAUCAUGUAUGGACUUUGAUGCUGGAAAGCUCCUGGAAACAGAAGCUCAUGGUUAAACUGAAGUUGCAAGGCAUGAGCUUGAGAAGGUUUUCAGGAGGAGAAGGGAUGAUUGACCAGUUAGAGCAGCUGGAUAGUUCCUUGCACGAUUGAGCACAUCUCUCCAUUAGCUACAAAUAGCUAGAUGAUACCAGAUUGCAACAACUGGAACUAGCAGGCCUGCUUCAAAGGUGGUCCCAGGCAGGACGGGCAUGGAGAAUUCAUCAGCUUUUUCACUACCUGACGACGGUCUCCUCGCUUCAGGUCAGGUCCCAAAGGGAAGGCGCUGGCGUGCCUGCAAGGUAAGGCGGCACUGGUGUGUGCCAAGGCAGGGCGAAGGAGUGUCACAGCUGGGCCCACGCUGUGGACGGACACCGGAUGUGGCUACGUGGAGCUGCCAAGCCCAGUGCUUUCACUGAUGCUGCUGUGCUAUUCCGGGUGCCUUUUCCCAGGCUGGCGCAGCA
Non-coding RNA from Struthio camelus australis, 982 nucleotides. The record is from RefSeq and is a predicted model, not a curated record. NCBI's taxonomy places the organism in Eukaryota, Metazoa, Chordata, Aves, Struthioniformes, Struthionidae.